RNAcentral lists this ribosomal RNA (498 nucleotides) under uncultured bacterium. RNAcentral describes it as "bacterial SSU rRNA". It matches the Rfam family "Bacterial small subunit ribosomal RNA", at positions 8 to 518 of the family's 1533-position model. The record is from RNAcentral.
AGAGUUUGAUUAUGGCUCAGGAUGAACGCUGGCGGCGUGCUUAACACAUUCAAGUCGAACGGACAAAAGGACUUCGGUCCUCGAGUCAGUGGCGGACGGGUGAGUAACGCGUGAGCAAUCUGCCUUCGGGUGUGGAAUAACAGACGGAAACGGCUGCUAAUACCGCAUAACGUAUAUUGAUCGCAUGUUCGAUAUACCAAAGAUUUAUUGCCCGAAGAUGAGCUCGCGUCCCAUUAGACAGUUGGUGAGGUAACGGCCCACCAAAUCUACGAUGGGUAGCCGGACUGAGAGGUCGAACGGCCACAUUGGAACUGAGAAACGGUCCAGACUCCUACGGGAGGCAGCAGUGGGGAAUAUUGGGCAAUGGGCGAAAAAGCCUGACCCAGCGACGCCGCGUGAAGGAAGAAGGUCUUCGGAUUGUAAACUUUAGUCGACAGGGAAGAAAGAAAUGACGGUACCUGUAGAGGAAGCCACGACUAACUACGUGCCAGCCGCCGC